Molecule: ribosomal RNA, 496 nt
Filed under: uncultured Streptococcus sp.
Lineage: Bacteria; Bacillati; Bacillota; Bacilli; Lactobacillales; Streptococcaceae
Description: bacterial SSU rRNA
Rfam family: Bacterial small subunit ribosomal RNA
Source: RNAcentral
GACGAACGCUGGCGGCGUGCCUAGUACAUGCAAGUAGAACGCUGAAGGAGGAGCUUGCUUCUCUGGAUGAGUUGCGAACGGGUGAGUAACGCGUAGGUAACCUGCCUGGUAGCGGGGGAUAACUAUUGGAAACGAUAGCUAAUACCGCAUAACAGUAGAUAUCGCAUGAUAGCUGCUUGAAAGGUGCAAUUGCACCACUACCAGAUGGACCUGCGUUGUAUUAGCUAGUUGGUGAGGUAACGGCUCACCAAGGCGACGAUACAUAGCCGACCUGAGAGGGUGAUCGGCCACACUGGGACUGAGACACGGCCCAGACUCCUACGGGAGGCAGCAGUAGGGAAUCUUCGGCAAUGGACGGAAGUCUGACCGAGCAACGCCGCGUGAGUGAAGAAGGUUUUCGGAUCGUAAAGCUCUGUUGUAAGAGAAGAACGAGUGUGAGAGUGGAAAGUUCACACUGUGACGGUAUCUUACCAGAAAGGGACGGCUAACUACGUGC